Cataglyphis hispanica is the source of this 603-nucleotide long non-coding RNA. RefSeq lists it as uncharacterized. The record is from RefSeq and is a predicted model, not a curated record. The transcript has 3 exons. Lineage: Eukaryota; Metazoa; Arthropoda; Insecta; Hymenoptera; Formicidae.
GAGCUGCCGGCGUGUGAGGAUAGUUUUUUGCGCGCGCUCUAUCCUGACAACUGCACAACCACGUGGUGCUCCCAUAUAUCUCUCGCCUUCCAACGUCGCUGUCGUACAUUAUAUUGCAUGAUCGCGUGACACGUUUGGAAAUCGGGUCGUGCGUUUCGUUUCGUUUCCUUGCAAUUCAAAUUGUCGAUUGUCGGCAUUACGAGCCGCCUAUCCUUCGAUUUUCCGCGGCGUCGCGACGCCAUCAUUCUGUCAAAAUUUCAAAGCUCAUAGCAAGAUAUCCAUGAGUGUAUAAGAUAUAUUUGUGAGUGUUUAUAAAGUUCUUCGUGUCAUUAAGAGGCUGCGACAAGAGAGUGACUGAGAAAAGGGAUGACUAACAAACGUGCGAUUAAUCGAUGUGUGAAUUAAUUCUGAACUAACAACAUGUAACGACACCGCAACGCGACCAAUCAUGGAGAAGAGGACGUUAAAAGGAAUCGACGGCGCGAUAAUAAGGACGUCGUGGUGUGCACGGCACAUUCGAAAUCCAAUUAAUAUCUAUCAAUUAAUUUAAUCUUACCGGGGUAAUAAACAUAUUUAUUUAACUAAACAAGUGAUAUAUAUAUA